UAGUCAUCAACAAUUUGUUCAGCAACAAUAAAAAGGCUCCAACAACAUGUUUCAAAAUCGAUACAUAAGGAAUGAAAAUAAAACAACUGAUUUCCAUCUCGUUACAUAUCAGAGCCCUAAGACACUUGAGCCACCACUUCUACUACUCUUCAUCACCUGCAAGUUACCCAUACGAAGGGCAACAUUUCCAAGCAGAAGGGGUGAGAUUCACAAACAACAAUAAUAGAUAUAUAAUUCAUCAAUUGAAUCUAACACCCUAAACAACAAUAAUACUUCAAUAUACAUAUAUAUUUCAUAAUCAACAACAUCAUCAACAUUUGGCAAUUUCAAUCAACAACAACAACUCAUGCAAUGACAUGACAACUCUACUACGACUCAACAACAAAAUGCGACAAUGCACAUGCAUGUGGUACCAUUUUAACGUGUUUGAAUGACAAGGCAUUACAGGGCGUGAGCCCUCACCAAUUUGAAUGGUUAAAGCAUUCACAGGGCAUGAGCCCUCACCAAUUGAAUGAACUAGCAUUCACAGGGCAUAAGCCCUCUCCAAUUGAACGACAAGGCGUUCCAAGGCAUGAGCCCUCACCAAUUUAUGAUUAUGCAAUGAACUCCACUUGUGUAUAUCAACAUACAACUCAACAAUGCAUAUAUACCGACUGCAUAAACGACGACAACCACUACUCAACAAUGCAUAUAUGUGAAUAUGACUUACACCUCAAGAAUUCAAUUAAUGAUACUUUAAUCUUUGAAAUGAAAUUCAACAACAUGUAUAAUUUAUUUAAUAUAAAUAUACAUAACAACCAUCAAUGAUUCAUCAUACUUAAUUCAACAGCUCCAAUAAAAUAUCACAAUUAAUUAUAAUCAUGGUCUUACACUAAAGUUCAAUCAACUGUAUUCAAAUACAUAGCGAACUCCAGAAAUGGGUUACUCGCUAUGGCGAGUACGAGGCGAACGAGAAAAGGGUGCUCUCGGGAGUUUUGAUAUUUUUCUCACUAAAUCUUCAUUUUUAAGCUCCCUAAUCAUCUUUUUAAUCUAAAAAUUGUCCCAGUCCUCUCUAAAAACAUCAAGGCACUCAAAACUAUCCAACUUACACCUUAUAACAACAAUUUGAAAAUCAAGAUCUCUCACUCACUUACUCGCCAUGGCGAGUGGUUUUGCUCGCGAGGCGAGCUAUGAAGAUGGCUCACUCGCGAGGCGAGACAGGCUACUCGCGGGGCGAGCGAUGAAUAUCAUGUACGGGCAGAAUGCAGGUUUUUCCCAAAAAACCCAAUUUUCUCAAUUACAAUUCCGAAAACAGUUUACAGAAGUUUAAUAAAUUGCUGUCUACAACCUGAAUGCAUUCUAACACUAUUGUAAAGGUUUCUAUACUCUUUCAAUUCAAAAUCAAAGAUUAAAAUCUAAACCCAAAUUCCCAAUUUCUACUAGAACUAUGCUAAACCCAAAAUCAGAAUUACAUAACCAUCAUUAUUGAGAGAUAGUCUCACCCUUACCUUAAUUUGAUGAACAAAACUCUCCAAAAUCAGAAUCUCCCUUCUAGGCUCUUCCUUUGGUUUUUCUCCCAAAACUCUGUUGUACGUGAAAUCAGUUUUCUGACUUCUCCCCUUUUCUUAACUCCCCAAUUAUUUCUCUUAACUCCCACUUAAUUCUAUUAAUUAAAAUAUAACCCCCAAAACUCCAAAUAAUUAUAAUUCCCACUUGAACUAUUAAAUACUACAAUAAAUCAUUUAAUAAAAUAUAACACACCACAUAAUCAACAAUAAUUAUUUAAAAUCAUAUAAAAGACUCUAAAUAAAUCAGAAAUAAAUAAAUAACGAUUAGGGUGUUACAACUCUCCCCAACUUAGAGAAUUUCGUCCUCGAAAUAUUACCUCAAGCAAACAACUCUGGAUAAGACUCUAGCAUCUUACUCUCCAGCUCCCAUGUAGUUACUCC
This 1928-nucleotide long non-coding RNA is filed under the name Medicago truncatula (barrel medic). Its description in RNAcentral is "long non-coding RNA (MTRU_LNC003020)". Lineage: Eukaryota; Viridiplantae; Streptophyta; Magnoliopsida; Fabales; Fabaceae. The record is from RNAcentral.